GACGAACGCUGGCGGCGUGCUUAACACAUGCAAGUCGAGCGGUAAGGCCCUUUCGGGGGUACACGAGCGGCGAACGGGUGAGUAACACGUGGGUGACCUGCCCUUAGCUCUGGGAUAAGCCUGGGAAACUUGGUCUAAUACCGGAUAUGACUCCAUGACGCAUGUUGUGGGGUGGAAAGCCUUGUGCGGCUAGGGAUGGGCCCGCGGCCUACCAGCUUGUUGGUGGGGUGAUGGCCUACCAAGGCGACGACGGGUAGCCGGCCUGAGAGGGCGACCGGCCACACUGGGACUGAGACACGGCCCAGACUCCUACGGGAGGCAGCAGUGGGGAAUCUUGCGCAAUGGGCGAAAGCCUGACGCAGCGACGCCGCGUGAGGGAUGACGGCC
RNAcentral lists this ribosomal RNA (387 nucleotides) under uncultured bacterium. RNAcentral describes it as "bacterial SSU rRNA". It matches the Rfam family "Bacterial small subunit ribosomal RNA", at positions 28 to 416 of the family's 1533-position model. The record is from RNAcentral.